UAAUAAAAUGCUUCGCUGGGCGCAGCUUGAUACGACCGCAGAGGUCGAACCCUGUACAGUUGGGGCAAGUAUGGACACAACAUUCAAGCUUGAUACAGCACUGAAUUUGGAUUGUAAUUAAAUAUUUGACACAGCAUAGGUUUCUCACACAGAAUGAAAGUGGUCUAAGAACUUAAAAUUUUUUAAGUUACCUGUUCAAACCAUAUUAUUAUUAUUUGCUUUUAUAUAUAAAUCAGAAAUAACCAAUUUAAAAUGGAAAA
Molecule: long non-coding RNA, 260 nt
Organism: Mytilus californianus (California mussel)
Lineage: Eukaryota; Metazoa; Mollusca; Bivalvia; Mytilida; Mytilidae
Exons: 2
Source: RefSeq, a predicted model, not a curated record